This is a non-coding RNA of Bactrocera oleae (olive fruit fly), 712 nucleotides long. The record is from RefSeq and is a predicted model, not a curated record. Lineage: Eukaryota; Metazoa; Arthropoda; Insecta; Diptera; Tephritidae.
UUUACUUUGUUACAUUUUACUGUUUACUUUCGAACGCACAUUGGUAUUCAUUAUUUGUGAGCAAUGGAAUAAAAAAGAGAGCUGGUGAAAAAGUUAUAUUUUCAAGGAAAAACAAGUAAAAUUGUUAAGAUCCUCCUUUGAUGUUAAUCAACGUACUGUGGCUCAAUUUAAGAAAAGUGGUAGUGUUAAAAUAUCAAAAAAAAAAGCUUUUCGUGUUACAAGUAAGCCACAACUUACAAACUUACCGCUUUUAUCAACGAGUAUGUCUGAUGUUCCAGCUGAUAAAAAGCUAUUGAAAGAUAAAAAUUGCCUAAGUUACAGUGACUACCGUGAGGAAACUUUUCUAACAGUGACGUUAGAUAAGCCGCUGUCAACGGCUGAAUUUACAAUAUUUCUUAAUGCAAAUUUAUAUACAUAAUGUUAAAAUUAUAUACACAUAUGUACAUACGUGCAACAAGAAAAAAAUAUUAUACUGAUUUUGUAGCUUCAAAACAACAUCCAUAAAAAGGACCUAAUUUUAAGUUACAAGACCCAUGUAACCCCUUAAAGUUUAAGCGUCGUUUGCACAGAAUUUGGGACGAAAUUCCAGAAAAAAUUGUGCAAAACUGUGGGAAGCUUUCAAAAGCAAUGAAAGGAUAACGAUUUUAAUUAAAAUUACUGAAAACUGUAUAGUUUAACUAAUAAAUAAAACAAGGUUUCAUCCUAAAUUUGA